RNAcentral lists this ribosomal RNA (252 nucleotides) under uncultured bacterium. RNAcentral's name for it is "partial 16S ribosomal RNA". It matches the Rfam family "Bacterial small subunit ribosomal RNA", at positions 1249 to 1500 of the family's 1533-position model. The record is from RNAcentral.
GCGAGCAUGUGAAUGUGAGCAAAUCCCAAAAAUAACGUCUCAGUUCGGAUUGUAGUCUGCAACUCGACUACAUGAAGCUGGAAUCGCUAGUAAUCGCGAAUCAGAAUGUUGCGGUGAAUACGUUCCCGGGUCUUGUACACACCGCCCGUCACACCAUGGGAGUCAGUAACGCCCGAAGCCGGUGACCCAACCAAACGGAGGGAGCCGUCGAAGGUGGGACCGAUAACUGGGGUGAAGUCGUAACAAGGUAGC